Molecule: long non-coding RNA, 1127 nt
Filed under: Ananas comosus (pineapple)
Lineage: Eukaryota; Viridiplantae; Streptophyta; Magnoliopsida; Poales; Bromeliaceae
Description: long non-coding RNA (ACOM_LNC015807)
Source: RNAcentral
ACUCACUUUCGUGCCCUGAAUUUAAAGUAUACAAAAUUUAGUAUUAUAUAAUUUUAUUUUUAUUUUUUUAUUAUUAAUUUUAUUAAAUUUUUUUAUUAAAUUAGGGAUAAAGUUAAAAUUAAAGGUACAGUUUAGUUCGGAUAUAAGCAAGAACUAGCUAUUAUAUAAAUAAGUAUAAAUAUAGAGAUAAGAAAAAUAGCGUUUUGAUGAAAAUUGUGUUGUUCCCGGAAUAAGAAAAAUAGCGUUUGGAUAGAUAAUAUGGAAUAAGAAAAAUAUUAUGUAGUUUUAUAUAAAAAAUGAAGAUGUUUGUGGGGAUAAUUAUAAUCAGUUAUUAUAGGUAACCGAGAACUACUGUUCUCGGAUAAAAAAUUAGCGUUUAGGUAUAAAGGGGGGAUAAGGGCCUAUCCCUAUCCCUAUCCCCUAACCAAACACUGCCAAAAAGUAUUAAAGUGAAUAUUCGAUAAACCUAUAUGGAGUAUCUGAAGUUUUUAUAUAUAAUUUAACGAAAUAUUAACGAAAAAUCUGGCGAAAAGAUAAAAAUGAAACCACAUGACACUAACUUAAUACACUUUAAAGUAUAGAAUACCCAAGCUCGAAUCCUACUUGAUUCACAUUUCCAGCUAAGUUUAUUUCUAAAUAAAAUAAAUGAAGCGGGUAGCGUGCUAUCUAUCUCUCAAAAAAAAAAAAAAAAAAAAAAAACUAUAGGAUACUAAAGUGAGUAAGUGUGAAACUACAGGAGUUGUUUUUAAAGUUUACCAAAAAUAAUAAACUUCAAAUAUCAUCCCUAUAGUUUCGCACUUUCUUACUUUUGUACCUUAUAAUUUAACAUGUAUCAAGUUAGUACCAUAUGGUUUUAUUUUUCUCUUUUCGUCAACUCCACCAUUAAUAUUUCGUUAAAUUAUAUACAAAAAAUUUCAAAUACACCACCUAGGUUUAUCGAAUACUUGUUUUAGUACUCUUCAAUUUUAAUUUUGUCACUGAUUAAACGAAAAAAUUAGUAAAAUAAAUAAUUAAAAAAAAUUACAGAAUACUAAAUUGAUAUAUUUUAAAUUACACGACAUUAAAGUGGAAAAGUACAAAAUCAUCUUUUGAAGUUUUUUCAAAAAAGAAAAAAAAAAAAAAAAAAA